Molecule: ribosomal RNA, 454 nt
Filed under: uncultured bacterium
Lineage: Bacteria
Description: SSU rRNA
Rfam family: Bacterial small subunit ribosomal RNA
Source: RNAcentral
AGGAUAAACGCUGGCGGCGUGCCUAACACAUGCAAGUCGAACGCCCUACGCAAGUAGGGAGUGGCGGACGGGUGAGGAACACGUGGGUAAUCUGCCCUUCGGUGAGGAAUACCGGCGAGAAAUCGCCGACAAUACCGCAUGCGUUUCACGGAAGUGAAAGAAAGUCGUAAGACGCCGAGGGAUGAGCCUGCGCCCGAUUAGUUUGUUGGUGGGGUAAAAGCCUACCAAGACUACAAUCGGUAGCUGGUCUGAGAGGACGAUCAGCCACACUGGGAUUGAGAACGGCCCAGACUCCUACGGGGGGCAGCAGUGAGGAUUUCGUCAAUGGGGGCAACCCUGAACGAGCAACGCCGCGUGCAGGAAGAAGGUUUUCGGAUCGUAAACUGCUUUUCUGUGGGAAGAGAACGGACGGUACCACAGGAAGAGCCCCGGCUAACUACGUGCCAGCAGCCGC